UGGUUGUCGUCAGCCCGUGUCGUGAGAUGUUGGGUUAAGUCCCGCAACGAGCGCAACCCUUGAUCUUAGUUGCCAGCACUUCGGGUGGGCACUCUAGGAUGACUGCCGGUGACAAACCGGAGGAAGGUGGGGAUGACGUCAAAUCAUCAUGCCCCUUAUGACCUGGGCUACACACGUACUACAAUGGUCGAUACAACGGGAAGCGAAGCCGCGAGGUGGAGCCAAUCCUAUCAAAGUCGAUCUCAGUUCGGAUUGCAGGCUGCAACUCGCCUGCAUGAAGUCGGAAUUGCUAGUAAUCGCGGAUCAG
Molecule: ribosomal RNA, 307 nt
Filed under: Paenibacillus terrigena
Lineage: Bacteria; Bacillati; Bacillota; Bacilli; Caryophanales; Paenibacillaceae
Description: bacterial SSU rRNA
Rfam family: Bacterial small subunit ribosomal RNA
Source: RNAcentral